AGAGUUUGAUCAUGGCUCAGAAUCAACGCUGGCGGCGUGCCUAACACAUGCAAGUCGAGCGAGAAAGGGGCUUCGGCCCUGAGUAAAGCGGCGCACGGGUGAGUAACACGUGGGUAAUCUGCCCUCGAGUGGGGAAUAACACCGGGAAACCGGUGCUAAUACCGCAUACGAUCACGAUGUCUUCGGAUGUUGUGAUGAAAGGAGCAAUUCGCUCUUGGAGGAGCCCGCGGCUGAUUAGCUAGUUGGUGAGGUAAUGGCUCACCAAGGCUGCGAUCAGUAGCCGGUCUGAGAGGACGGUCGGCCACACUGGAACUGAGACACGGUCCAGACUCCUACGGGAGGCAGCAGUGGGGAAUUUUUCGCAAUGGGGGCAACCCUGACGAAGCAACGCCGCGUGGGUGAUGAAGUAUCUCGGUACGUAAAACCCUUUCGACGGGGAAGAAAACCGCAAGGUUUGACGGUACCCGUAGAAGAAGCCCCGGCUAACUCCGUGCCAGCAGCCGCGGUAAUACGGGGGGGGCAAGCGUUGUUCGGAAUUACUGGGCGUAAAGGGCGCGUAGGCGGUUUGUUAAGUUGAAUGUGAAAACUCUGGGCUUAACCCAGAGCCUGCAUUCAAUACUGGCAGGCUAGAGUUCUGGAGGGGAUAGCGGAAUUCCUGGUGUAGCGGUGAAAUGCGUAGAUAUCAGGAGGAACACCGGUGGCGAAGGCGGCUAUCUGGACAGAGUCUGACGCUGAGGCGCGAAAGCUAGGGGAGCAAACAGGAUUAGAUACCCUAGUAGUCC
RNAcentral lists this ribosomal RNA (782 nucleotides) under uncultured bacterium. RNAcentral's name for it is "bacterial SSU rRNA". It matches the Rfam family "Bacterial small subunit ribosomal RNA", at positions 8 to 796 of the family's 1533-position model. The record is from RNAcentral.